AGAGUCAUUUUGCAUAAUGAAAUACCUAAAUCAUUUUAAUAAACAUUUUGGGGGGGAGUGCAAAUGACACAGUUGGAGAGGGAAUCAUUUACCCUAUUCAGAAAGGCAAUGUGGAAAUAGUGAUGCUAAUUUUUUUUUUCUUUUAAAUUACCAUUCUGGCCAAUUUGUUGUAAAUUCUGAGAAGAAAAGCUACAGCUUAUGUUGUUGGUAGCAAAUUCCUCCUCCAGAAGGCUAAUGCAAAUGUAAGCCAUCUGCCACGCAUUCUGCUGAGGAGGCUGGAGUCACAAACAAUGGGCCAACAGUCUCUGAAUGCUAACACACACACUCUGCAGGCAAGAGAAGUCUGCAUUUUGCCCCAAAGGUAUACAGUACGUCAGGUCGCCUCCUUUCCCGUCCUCCGCAAGACCACCAGACACCCACUGCUCUCUCAGUCAGCUGGCACCAGGAGAGCGGCCGCAGAUUAGUAAGACGGUGCUUUCACAAGAAGAACCCCUGGAGAAGCAUUUCUGUUGAAACUGACUGAAGCAGGCAUGCAAGACCUGUUAAAUUAUUUAAACCAGACAAAUGCUUCACAGUGUGUGUUUUUUAACUUAAUCCUAUUUUAGCAAAAACUGGCUUUGACUAUUGCAGUACGCACCAGAAUGUUGCAUAGGUUUUUUGUGUUUUGUUUUUUUUUUUUUUUUCCUUUUAUGACUGGACCCUUUCAGAAGGCUCAGGAACACUGUCCUCGGCUCAUCUGAGGCCUUGUCUCAGCAGCAGAUGGAUGUAUUCAACAGAAUGCACUGGGCAGGUGGGCGCUGCGGACGACCCUCUUGUCUGAAACCUGGGCGCUCACAGACAUUCAAGUCAUUCUACCUGCUCUGUUCAAGGAAACUUGAACGCUCAGUUAUUUGGCAAGUGGGCCUAAAUGGCUCGUUCAGUGUGAUAAAACACUGACCUAUUAUUCAGUGUUUGGCGAUGGGGCAGGAGAAGAGGCAACCCCCAGCGAAAAGCCAUCAGCAGAACUCCAGCUUCACUUUGCUCCAUUUGCCACCUGCUGGGUUUCCUCCUGUGUCUCCGGCUCUGAUUGCCGUGUGCCUCCAGGCCUCUCGCUCUGAGCCUCCCACACUGCCAGGGUGCACAUUAUCUCCGCCCGUGAACAGCUGCUGUCACUGCCUGGAGUGCCGCCCCCACGGCCCUUCCGCUCCGCGUCGUCUAGGGAUACAGCCCUGGCAUGCUGAGACGCUGAACUAUUUUCUCAUGUACGAUAGACUGAAUGGUGUCCCCUCAAAAUUCAUAUGUGAAAGUCUUAACACUCAGAAGUACACUGCUUAGAAAUAAAACUUUCAG
This 1329-nucleotide long non-coding RNA is filed under the name Chinchilla lanigera (long-tailed chinchilla). RNAcentral's name for it is "lncRNA (ENSCLAG00000025044.1)". The record is from RNAcentral. Lineage: Eukaryota; Metazoa; Chordata; Mammalia; Rodentia; Chinchillidae.